CCCUUAGAUGUUCUGGGCCGCACGCGCGCUACACUGAUACAUGCAACGAGUUUAUAACCUUGAUCUGACGGUCUGGGUAAUCUUCAAACUGUAUCGUGUUAGGGAUCGAUUCUUGCAAUUUUUAAUCGUAAACGAGGAAUUCCUAGUAAACGCAAGUCAUCAGCUUGCAUUGAUUACGUCCCUGCCCUUUGUACACACCGCCCGUCGACUCUACCGAUUGAAUGGUUCGGUGAAAACUUUGGACUGUGGCAUUGUCCUUCAUUGGACUUCGCCGUAGGAAAUUGUUUAAACCUCAUCAUUUAGAGGAAGAAUAAGUCGUAACA
RNAcentral lists this ribosomal RNA (323 nucleotides) under uncultured eukaryote. Its description in RNAcentral is "partial 18S ribosomal RNA". It matches the Rfam family "Eukaryotic small subunit ribosomal RNA", at positions 1470 to 1796 of the family's 1831-position model. The record is from RNAcentral.